GUAUUUAAAAGUUCUUUAAUACACUCGUUUAAUGGAUAACAACACACCUCAUCUCAGACACCCGACCCAUGUUGGCAUAUUUAGUUAUCAGCUUUAUCUUUUUAUAACACUUUAUUUUACUCCUGCAGCUUCAUACUGCACGCAACAAUCGUAGGCUGCUGAAUAAAGUAGGGAGUGAAAGCACAGUGAGACAGCUGUGAUUUAUAUUUUUAAUAGUUUGUUGACACGGUCAUCAAACUAGUCACACAAAUAAGAUUUGAAAUGUUUUAUUUUCAUAGACUUUUGGAGAAACCAUGUCAAAAUAAAAUUAAAAAAAAGAAAUCCAACAGCAAAAGUAAUAUUUCCAUUCACUUUUUUUUUCCUUAAAAAAAUAUCAGCCUUUCCCCUUGUUCACAAACCGUUUCAAAACCUGGACAAACAGAAAUAACGUGUUCAAUUCCGAGAAGCUGGAAGGCCAUUACCAUUUGUAGGCAAAUAUAAAUAUAGUGGUUUGAACAGGGUCUCAAAUAGCUCACAUGGAAAGAGUGUACGCACAGUUCACACGACGCCAGGACACUCGGCACUGCCUGUAUCAAUUAUUUUAUUAAUGUAGAAAACCAGAACUCCUUAUUUUCCAAUUCAAAUUGAGGCGUUCAUGUCAUGGAAAUAUUUACAUUCAGCCAGCUUUCAUAAUCUCUGGAGUUUGUGUUGCCCUGUCAGUCGUGUCGAUUGUCUAUUCGGGGGCAUAGUUGUGAGUGUACGUGUAGUCCGAGUAGGGGCCCCGCGCCCCGCCCCUGCCUGCCGGGUAACCCCAGGAGCAGGGCCCGCCCCCCCGAUCGUGUCCUCGUCCAGGCCGCGGCCAGAGCCCCACCGGCGGCGCUCCUCUACCCCGAAAGCCCCCAAAGGGCCGAGACCGAUGCCGCCCCGCAUGGGCCCGUGAUCCAUCUGUCCGGGGAGACCCCUAAUGCUUGCGUAGCCCACGGCACACAUUGACGCGGAGCAUCUUUGGCCUGACUAUCGAGCCCCCCCUGUGGCCGCUGCGG
This is a long non-coding RNA of Gasterosteus aculeatus aculeatus (three-spined stickleback), 1022 nucleotides long. The record is from Ensembl. Lineage: Eukaryota; Metazoa; Chordata; Actinopteri; Perciformes; Gasterosteidae.